GAUGAACGCUGGCGGCGUGCCUAAUACAUGCAAGUCGAGCGAACGGACGAGAAGCUUGCUUCUCUGAUGUUAGCGGCGGACGGGUGAGUAACACGUGGAUAACCUACCUAUAAGACUGGGAUAACUUCGGGAAACCGGAGCUAAUACCGGAUAAUAUUUUGAACCGCAUGGUUCAAAAGUGAAAGACGGUCUUGCUGUCACUUAUAGAUGGAUCCGCGCUGCAUUAGCUAGUUGGUAAGGUAACGGCUUACCAAGGCAACGAUGCAUAGCCGACCUGAGAGGGUGAUCGGCCACACUGGAACUGAGACACGGUCCAGACUCCUACGGGAGGCAGCAGUAGGGAAUCUUCCGCAAUGGGCGAAAGCCUGACGGAGCAACGCCGCGUGAGUGAUGAAGGUCUUCGGAUCGUAAAACUCUGUUAUUAGGGAAGAACAUAUGUGUAAGUAACAGUGCACAUCUUGACGGUACCUAAUCAGAAAGCCACGGCUAACUACGU
This 496-nucleotide ribosomal RNA is filed under the name uncultured bacterium. Its description in RNAcentral is "partial 16S ribosomal RNA". It matches the Rfam family "Bacterial small subunit ribosomal RNA", at positions 28 to 506 of the family's 1533-position model. The record is from RNAcentral.